Molecule: long non-coding RNA, 805 nt
Organism: Homo sapiens (human)
Lineage: Eukaryota; Metazoa; Chordata; Mammalia; Primates; Hominidae
Gene: TDH
Product: L-threonine dehydrogenase (pseudogene)
Source: Ensembl
GAAUAUGGAAGGUACUUGACCGCAUCAGAGGGAUUUGGAAGCAGGCCUUAAAAAGCUUCUGCUUUUUAAUAUGGUGCUUCUCCAGGUGUGAUCUGGGGAGCUCCGGUCAUCCUCCAGCACUUUCAAGGGGUCUUGGGGGUCAAAAAUCUUAUCAAUAUGGAGACGUUACUGGCCUUUUUCACUCUACUUUCACAAAUGCAUUGUAGAGUUUUCCAGAGGUGGUGUGGCGUGUGAGAUAAGAACGGACUGGAUACAGAAGCAGAUGGGGGCUCCAGCGGACCCCUAUCAAGCCAGACCCUAAAGAGAUUUUUAGAAUACUAUGCAGUCCAGAUUUUCCAUGAUGCCACAAAGCAUGGCAAAUUCGAGUGCAACCUGGAAGCCUGCACGAGACUGCCCAUGAUGUACAUUGACGACUGCCUCAGAGCCACCCUGGAGGUCAUGGAGGCCCCAGCUGAGUCCCUUUCCAUGAGGACCUACAAUGUCAGCGCCAUGAGCUUCACACCCGAGGAGCUGGCCCAGGAGGUCCUCAAGCACGUGCCGGAAUUCCAGAUCACAUACAACGUGGAUGCCGUUCGCCAGGCCAUAGCGGAUGGUUGGCCGAUGAACUUUGAUGACAGCAAUGCUCGGAAGGACUGGGGGUGGAAACACGACUUUGAUCUUCCAGAGUUGGUGACUGCCAUGUUGAACUUCCAUGGUUCUGAAAGCAGAGUUGCCCAAGCCAACUGAAAGAAUCUGGAAGAGGAGCUCCUGUGUCCUGGUCCACUGUCAAGGGAGAACUGUCACAACUCCAAGGUUAUAGACUCCA